AUACGGAGGGAGCUAGCGUUGUUCGGAAUUACUGGGCGUAAAGCGCACGUAGGCGGUUACUCAAGUCAGAGGUGAAAGCCCGGGGCUCAACCCCGGAACUGCCUUUGAAACUAGGUAACUAGAAUCCUGGAGAGGUGAGUAGAAUUCCGAGUGUAGAGGUGAAAUUCGUAGAUAUUCAGAAGAACACCAGUGGCGAAGGCGGCUCACUGGACAGGUAUUGACGCUGAGGUGCGAAAGCGUGGGGAGCAAACAGGAUUAGAAACCCCGGUAGUCC
Molecule: ribosomal RNA, 274 nt
Filed under: uncultured bacterium
Lineage: Bacteria
Description: partial 16S ribosomal RNA
Rfam family: Bacterial small subunit ribosomal RNA
Source: RNAcentral